GGCCUGCUAGCUCAGUUGGUUAGAGCGUGGUGCUAAUAGCGUUGAAAUGGUGAAAACACCGUUGCAAUGGCGACGCCAAGGUCCUCGGUUCGACCCCGUGGUGGGCCA
Molecule: non-coding RNA, 108 nt
Organism: Jaapia argillacea MUCL 33604
Lineage: Eukaryota; Fungi; Basidiomycota; Agaricomycetes; Jaapiales; Jaapiaceae
Source: the annotation of a GenBank genome assembly